CUUUAUACAAGAUAAGGAUUCCGAUACAAUUUUUAAAAAUAUAAAGAUCAAAAUAUUAAAAAUAAUUAAUUACAUGGGCUAACAUGUAACUAACUCCUCUGUCUGCUACACAGAAAUAUGAUUUCAUGAAACGUCCGACACCAUUCAACGUGGCUUCCUCGACUAAUUCUAACUGCUCCGUUGGAGCUGUUGUCACUGUCAUCAGUCCGGUCCUAAAAGUCCCUCACGUCUUUUGGAGCUCAAACUCGGUUUAGAUUACGGUGAUUCAAAUCUAUUUUAGACAAAGCCCACCAAGCAGAUGUGAAUGGACAACCUUCAAUAGGAACGAACGAGCAUUACCACCAUCGCUAUUCAUAGAUAAUAAGCACAUCGAUGCUGGAGUUCAACGUGUUGCUCUCGGCUGUCAUAUCUCCUCCUAUACACCACCUCGGAGUCUUGUCUGCAAGGCCAAACAGUAGAAGGCUCUUUUAAGUGAAGAAGAUGAGAGAUCACACGAUAAAGCAACAACACGUUGUAGCGUAAACAUGAGAUGAGGAAUUAAAUGGAUAAGAAAGAUUUAGCAAUUGAUCUAGCAAGAAAGAAGGAUCAGGAGACAUGCUAUAUGCUUCUACUCAUUAGAACACGAAAGCACACAAUAAUUUCUCAUCAAUCAGUACCACCAUCAGGGUGUCUCACCAUUAAAAGGGCUUUUCUGUCGACUACCCAAAGAGAAACAAAUGCUUAUUAAUCAGCUUGAGUGUGAACUACAGAUGCAAGUGAUCAGGAAGUAUGUGCCCACGGAAACAUCAAUAUCCUUGAACUAAAAAUUAGAUUUAUCAUGUGAAGAGUUACGACCAUCUCCAUAGUCCUUCCAUAUCUCCUAUUGGCAGCGCACCUUUGGCGGCACUCAUGACAAAUGCACCUAAGCUCUGUUUGUAUGGUGGCUUUGUAACCUGCCCUUACAUCAAGAAUUCACCAUCACAAAGUCUCCCUUCUUCACAAAUGGCACAUUCCUUCCACCAACAAUCUUAAACAUCUAUUUUCUAAGAUUACAAAACUGGUCAUUUACAACAACAAUAUAGCUUUUGGAAAUAAUGAGACUAGUAAAAAGAAAAUUAUGCUAGGAAUAUGGAAAAUCUAGCAAUUGAACUAGCCACAAAAUGGGACCAAGAAACCAGUUAUGCUUCCACUCAUUAGAACAAUAACAUAACCUUAUGUUUCUUUGGAAAACAGAUGACCCUUGCAAAGAAAGAUUCAUGGUUUAUGUCAUAGAUUUAGAUGAACCAGCAAUGAAACAUGGAAAAUCAAGCAAUUGAACUAGCAACAAAAUGGGACCAAGAAACCCGUUGUGCUUCCACUCAUUAGAACAAUAAGAAAACCUUAUGUUUCUUUGGAAAACAGAUGACCCUUGCAAAGAAAGAUUCAUGGUUUAUGCCAUAGUUUUAGAUGAACUAGCAAUGAAAUAGGGCAAAGACACAUGAUAUGUAUACAUUCAUUAGACCAUAAAGCACAAGAGUUUAUCAAUCAUCAAUUUGCUACUUAAAUAAGUCUUGCAAAAAAUUAAAAAUAAAUCAUGCCCUGUACUAUCUGUUAAUUUCGUCUUGUGAGCUAAUCAACAGAAUGCUAACCAAGAUUGUUAUGCAUCCUCACAUCCGGUAUGCUAAAUCUACAUAGACCAAGGUUAACUAUAGCCUGAUGCACCAAUAACUACUAGAAGGCAAUGGUCUUAUCUCCAAUCAUCAAUAAAUAAGCUAGAAAUACUCGUUGGAACUUGCACGAGUUCCAAUCUAAAGGAGCAGCCUUUCAUCAAUUCUACCAAGCAAACACACAAUUAUACAAUCGUCAGUCUACGAAGCCAAGGCAUGAUCAUAACCUCUAACGCGGCAACUUCUCUUCAAUUACACCCAGAAAACACUGAGAUCCAGAGGUAAGAAUGAAGUCCGAGACAUUCAAGACGCCCAACAUCUGGAACUAAGGCCGCAGCUUUUCAUCGAUUCCACCAAGAAAUCAAUCGAACAAAACCCUAAAUAGAACCAUAACCACCACGCAGCUUCGACACCGGAAAUGAUCAAGAGUCGCCCAUCUCCUAAACCUAAAACAGAAACGCGAUUCUUCUCGAUUCAACCAUGAGAACACUGAGAUCAAGAGGAAGGAAACCUCGAACACCCCACGACCGGGAUUAGGAGGGCAAGGCCUCGGAGUUGUGGAUGAAGGCGACGGCGGAAAGGAUGGCGGCGGCGAAGGCGAAGAUCCCGAGCACAAGCAUGAGAGAGAUCCCGGCGGCUGUCAGAUCCAUCACCAGUUGGAGGAGACGGAAAAGAUCCGCCAUCGCCGCAUCUCCUCCUUAAGUCGGUGGUGUCGAUCUACGUACGAGUCAUGCUACGGCGAUCACUACACUGCCCGACACGACGUAACAUUCCACCUCAUACGGUAUUCAAUUCGACACAACGUUAUCUGCAGCGAGGAUACUAUAAUAUUGGUUCGGGUCCCACCGUGUUAGGCCGGUAUAUUAUUUGGUUGACCUAGUAAAAAAAGAAUCAUUUUCUCGAUAUAAAACUAUAGCGGGCAGCCGACAACAGCCGAGCCUUCCAAAAUCUUGUUCAAAUGCACACCGCGUGGUCGUGACCCAAAUUCCUACCCGGUCAAUUAGAUGCGGCAGUUGGUUGGUGUGGUUCACCAACUCCGUAGAGGAAGCACUCGGUCUCCAUCUACUUUGGGUACACCGUUCAUAUAAGCUAUAAAGGAUCCAUCUCUGACCGUUGGUUCUAUUACCUACUAUAAUCUUGACAGUAAAAUAAAUAUAUAUCAAAAUAUUAAUUUGACCAAAUACACGGACGGUCGAGAUGGUAUAAUUAGAUAAAAUGGACGGCUUAGAAAAGAUCUUUCUAUAAUUUUUCUAUGCGGUACUACGCACUGCUAUGCCAUGACACGAAUGAGAAAGAGAUUGGGGCUUCAGUCCGGUGAUUGGCUGAUUCGGAUUCCCGCCGCGGAUCAUCGUACCGGGUUGCGGAAAGGCCCUCGGAAAGCGUAUGAGGCACGUGGCGAUUGGCGGAACCAUCGGGGCCCACGGGAUAUCGCGGUCAAACUAUCCUGCAGCCUGACUGAGCGUAGUCAGCCGAGCCCGUUCUUUCGGUAGAUAAGGCCAGCUCUUCCCCCUUCGCCGCUGAAGCCCAACCAUCCCCUUCAUCAAAGCCUCCUCCUCCACCGUCGUCAAGGUACAUCCCCAUGCAAUCCGUGGUUGGUAUCAUACCUCAAUUGGUUCUUUUGGAGACGAGAUCGAUCUGGGACCUGUGACGAUGGAUCGAGCGGCUGAUGUUAUGCAGAAC
RNAcentral lists this long non-coding RNA (3305 nucleotides) under Musa acuminata (dwarf banana). Its description in RNAcentral is "long non-coding RNA (MACU_LNC005141)". Lineage: Eukaryota; Viridiplantae; Streptophyta; Magnoliopsida; Zingiberales; Musaceae. The record is from RNAcentral.